AGAGUUGCAAAACUCCCACAAACCAUCGCGAACGUUACCACCAUAAAGUUGCUUCGGCGCGCCGCUCCCGGUACACCGGGCCCGCCGGAGUGACCGUAUACAACUCUGUAUUAUAACCAGGCCUUACAUCUGAGUACUAGUACUGUAAUAAGUCA
Molecule: unclassified non-coding RNA, 155 nt
Filed under: soil metagenome
Description: partial internal transcribed spacer 1
Source: RNAcentral